RNAcentral lists this ribosomal RNA (1254 nucleotides) under uncultured bacterium. RNAcentral describes it as "bacterial SSU rRNA". It matches the Rfam family "Bacterial small subunit ribosomal RNA", at positions 147 to 1400 of the family's 1533-position model. The record is from RNAcentral.
CUUUCGGAAACGGAAGCUGAUACCGGAUAGGGACAGAGACGGCAUCGACUCUGUGUUAAAGGAGCUGAAAGGCUCCGCGCACGGAUGGACCUGCGGUGCAUUAGCUGGUUGGUGAGGUAACGGCCCACCAAGGCGACGAUGCAUAGCCGGCCUGAGAGGGCGGACGGCCACACUGGGACUGAGACACGGCCCAGACUCCUACGGGAGGCAGCAGUAGGGAAUUUUCGUCAAUGGGCGCAAGCCUGAACGAGCAAUGCCGCGUGAACGAGGAAGGUCUUCGGAUCGUAAAGUUCUGUUGAAGGGGAAAAAGAGCGGAGAGAGGAAAUGGUCUCCGAUUGAUAUUACCCUUCGAGGAAGUCACGGCUAACUACGUGCCAGCAGCCGCGGUAAUACGUAGGUGGCGAGCGUUAUCCGGAAUGAUUGGGCGUAAAGGGUGCGUAGGCGGCCUGCUAAGUCUGGAGUGAAAGGUACCGGCUCAACCGGUACAGGCUCUGGAAACUGGCGGGCUAGAGAGCAGGAGAGGGCGGUGGAACUCCAUGUGUAGCGGUAAAAUGCGUAGAUAUAUGGAAGAACACCAGUGGCGAAGGCGGCCGCCUGGCCUGUUACUGACGCUGAGGCACGAAAGCGUGGGGAGCAAAUAGGAUUAGAUACCCUAGUAGUCCACGCCGUAAACGAUGAGGACCAAGUGUUGGGGAAGACCCAGUGCUGCAGUUAACGCAGUGAGUCCUCCGCCUGGGGAGUAUGCACGCAAGUGUGAAACUCAAAGGAAUUGACGGGGGCCCGCACAAGCGGUGGAGUAUGUGGUUUAAUUCGAAGCAACGCGAAGAACCUUACCAGGCCUUGACAUAGGGUGCGAAGCUAUGGAGACAUAGUGGAGGUAAACAUCCAUACAGGUGGUGCAUGGUUGUCGUCAGCUCGUGUCGUGAGAUGUUCAGUUAAGUCUGGCAACGAGCGCAACCCUCGUGAUGUGUUACCAAUAUCGAGUUAGGGACUCACAUCAGACUGCCGGUGAGAAACCGGAGGAAGGCGGGGAUGACGUCAAAUCAUCAUGCCCCUUAUGGCCUGGGCUACACACGUACUACAAUGGCGGCGACAGAGGGCAGCGAGCCUGCGAAGGCAAGCGAAUCCCCAAAAAGCCGUCCCAGUUCGGAUUGGAGUCUGCAACCCGACUCCAUGAAGUUGGAAUCGCUAGUAAUCGCGGAUCAGCAUGCCGCGGUGAAUACGUUCUCGGGCCUUGCACACACCGCCCGUCAA